Molecule: ribosomal RNA, 382 nt
Filed under: uncultured eukaryote
Lineage: Eukaryota
Description: partial 18S ribosomal RNA
Rfam family: Eukaryotic small subunit ribosomal RNA
Source: RNAcentral
CAAUAGCGUAUAUUAAAGUUGUUGCAGUUAAAAAGCUCGUAGUUGGAUUUCUGGUUGAAGCGACCGGUCGGGCGUUGAUUCGUCUGCAUUGGAGUCGGUUUUGGCCAUCCUCUAGGAAAGUGCGUCUGGUAUUAAGUUAUCGGGCGUAUGAUCCUGGUCUUUUACUGUGAAAAAAUUAGAGUGUUUAAAGCAGGCCUUCGCCUUGAAUACAUUAGCAUGGAAUAAUAAGAUAGGACUUUGGUCUAUUUUGUUGGUUUGCAGACCGAAGUAAUGAUUAAUAGGGAUAGUUGGGGGUAUUUAUAUUCCGAUGUCAGAGGUGAAAUUCUUAGAUUUUCGGAAGAUAAACUUAUGCGAAAGCAUUUACCAAGGAUGUUUNCAUUAA